Molecule: long non-coding RNA, 407 nt
Filed under: Androctonus crassicauda
Lineage: Eukaryota; Metazoa; Arthropoda; Arachnida; Scorpiones; Buthidae
Source: RNAcentral
AGCCAAUGGCCUUGUGUCAUGUUGUUGACCAGUGUAUGACUUAAAGAAUAUGGAAGAUACAACAUUGGAAGAAAAGUGCCAAGACGAGUUGUGGCCAAGAGGACUGUGUAAAUUAAAAGAUAAGAUAUUACAUUUAAAGACUGAUCUUUUUUAUUUUAAUAUUUGUAGAUAUGAGCAAAAAUGUUUUACCUUUUUAAAAUUAUCUCAAAGUAUAGAGCAAGCAAUAGACAGAAAAGAUAAAAAAAAGUAUAUAGCAAUUUAUUUUUGAUUCUAUGUUAAAAGUAAAAAAGAAAAAAUUGGCUUUUUAUAAAAAGAAAUUAAAAUGUAAAUUAAAAUAUUUGAAUUUAGAUAAUAAGUAUAAAUUAAGUAGAUUAGAAUACAAAAAUAGUAGUUAUUUUAAGAAAAAA